This 497-nucleotide ribosomal RNA is filed under the name uncultured bacterium. RNAcentral's name for it is "partial 16S ribosomal RNA". It matches the Rfam family "Bacterial small subunit ribosomal RNA", at positions 28 to 507 of the family's 1533-position model. The record is from RNAcentral.
GACGAACGCUGGCGGCGUGCCUAAUACAUGCAAGUAGAACGCUGAAGAGAAGAGCUUACUCUUCUUGGAUGAGUUGCGAACGGGUGAGUAACGCGUAGGUAACCUGCCUUGUAGCGGGGGAUAACUAUUGGAAACGAUAGCUAGUACCGCAUAACAAUGGAUGACACAUGUCAUUUAUUUGAAAGGGGCAAUUGCUCCACUACAAGAUGGACCUGCGUUGUAUUAGCUAGUAGGUGAGGUAAUGGCUCACCUAGGCGACGAUACAUAGCCGACCUGAGAGGGUGAUCGGCCACACUGGGACUGAGACACGGCCCAGACUCCUACGGGAGGCAGCAGUAGGGAAUCUUCGGCAAUGGGGGCAACCCUGACCGAGCAACGCCGCGUGAGUGAAGAAGGUUUUCGGAUCGUAAAGCUCUGUUGUAAGUCAAGAACGGGUGUGAGAGUGGAAAGUUCACACUGUGACGGUAGCUUACCAGAAAGGGACGGCUAACUACGUG